GGCUUAUGGUUAACAAGGGUACGUAGGACAGAAAGUCACAUUUCAUCAUGCGGCCCUAGCAUUGUUCCAUAUUGACACGAAUCAGAUGAACACAUUUCACAUUUAACAUCGUUAUUUUAUUUUGGGGUAGCCUGCUUUGGGGUGUAAAAGUCACCAUUUCUUGUAAUUGUGUUUCAAACAUGAAGUUUCUCUCUUUAGAAGGAGCCUUUGGAAUCAUGAUUCUAUUCUCCAGAUAGCAGAGGAUGGUCUCCCUCGAACUGGAGGAAGAGUGAAUGAACGCCCUGAGCGUAUUCCAUGCUAGGCCUAUCGGUGUGCCAGCAGCAUUUUUAGCCCAGAAGAAAAUGGAGGAAAACAUCUUAACAUCAGUAGCCGCAUUGAUCUGCUCUAGACAGCCUCCUUCAUAGUACGGGUUGAUGGCCAUGCAUCUGGAAUGGUGGCAGCACCAAGACCAGAAAGGGAGUACAAGUUUGUAAAUGCAUGUCUGGUGCAAGAGACUGCUGGAGAUGACUCAAGUAACCAGAACUCGUUCUUUUCAAGGCUCCUAUUAGGAGACUUCUGGAGAAUUAUCAGUAGGAAGGUUAACGAGUUCCUCAACGAUCGCUUUCAUGUCAUUUAAUCCUAGAAUAACCCAAUUUCUAUGAAGUUUGCAAGAAGUCUGUUCAUAAUUCAUGUGGGGGGAUAAAUAAAAAUAAACCCGUGUUAUCCCAA
Long non-coding RNA from Gavia stellata (red-throated loon), 708 nucleotides. RefSeq lists it as uncharacterized. The record is from RefSeq and is a predicted model, not a curated record. The transcript has 3 exons. NCBI's taxonomy places the organism in Eukaryota, Metazoa, Chordata, Aves, Gaviiformes, Gaviidae.